GACGAACGCUGGCGGCGUGCUUAACACAUGCAAGUCGAACGGAAAGGCCCUGCUUUUGUGGGGUGCUCGAGUGGCGAACGGGUGAGUAACACGUGAGUAACCUGCCCUUGACUUUGGGAUAACUUCAGGAAACUGGGGCUAAUACCGGAUAGGAGCUCCUGCUGCAUGGUGGGGGUUGGAAAGUUUCGGCGGUUGGGGAUGGACUCGCGGCUUAUCAGCUUGUUGGUGGGGUAGUGGCUUACCAAGGCUUUGACGGGUAGCCGGCCUGAGAAGGUGACCGGCCACAUUGGGACUGAGAUACGGCCCAGACUCCUACGGGAGGCAGCAGUGGGGAAUAUUGCACAAUAGGCGGAAGCCUGAUGCAGCAACGCCGCGUGCGGGAUGACGGCCUUCGGGUUGUAAACCGCUUUCGCCUGUGACGAAGCGUGGGUGACGGUAAUGGGUAAAGAAGCACCGGCUAACUACGUG
Molecule: ribosomal RNA, 468 nt
Filed under: uncultured bacterium
Lineage: Bacteria
Description: partial 16S ribosomal RNA
Rfam family: Bacterial small subunit ribosomal RNA
Source: RNAcentral